RNAcentral lists this ribosomal RNA (278 nucleotides) under Ruegeria pomeroyi. Its description in RNAcentral is "partial 16S ribosomal RNA". It matches the Rfam family "Bacterial small subunit ribosomal RNA", at positions 425 to 720 of the family's 1533-position model. Lineage: Bacteria; Pseudomonadati; Pseudomonadota; Alphaproteobacteria; Rhodobacterales; Roseobacteraceae. The record is from RNAcentral.
GUAAAGCUCUUUCGCCAGGGAUGAUAAUGACAGUACCUGGUAAAGAAACCCCGGCUAACUCCGUGCCAGCAGCCGCGGUAAUACGGAGGGGGUUAGCGUUGUUCGGAAUUACUGGGCGUAAAGCGCGCGUAGGCGGAUCAGAAAGUUGGGGGUGAAAUCCCGGGGCUCAACCCCGGAACUGCCUCCAAAACUCCUGGUCUUGAGUUCGAGAGAGGUGAGUGGAAUUCCGAGUGUAGAGGUGAAAUUCGUAGAUAUUCGGAGGAACACCAGUGGCGAAG